RNAcentral lists this ribosomal RNA (396 nucleotides) under uncultured bacterium. Its description in RNAcentral is "partial 16S ribosomal RNA". It matches the Rfam family "Bacterial small subunit ribosomal RNA", at positions 338 to 732 of the family's 1533-position model. The record is from RNAcentral.
CCUACGGGAGGCAGCAGUGAGGAAUAUUGGUCAAUGGGCGCGAGCCUGAACCAGCCAAGUCGCGUGAGGGAAGACGGUCCUAUGGAUUGUAACCCUCUUUUGUCGGGGAGCAAAAGACGCCACGCGUGGCGUUCCGAGCGUACCCUAAGAAAAAGCAUCGGCUAACCCCGUGCCAGCAGCCGCGGUAAUACGGAGGAUGCGAUCGUUAUCCGGAUUGAUUGGGGUAAAAGGGUGCGCAGGCGGAAGAUCAAGUCGGCGGUAAAAUUGAGGGGCUCAACCUCUGCGAGCCGUUGAAACUGGUGUUCUUGAGUGAGCGAGAAGUAUGCGGAAUGCGUGGUGUAGCGGUGAAAUGCAUAGAUAUCACGCAGAACUCCGAUUGCGAAGGCAGCAUACCGG